CGAGGAUGAUUUCCUGGGACCCUUGAACUCUGAGCAGGCCCCUGCAGGGAAAGUGACUGGCCCGCCCCCCUGCUCUGCCCCUGUCAGAGCCAGCACCUGUCAGGGGCGUGGCUGGAGGGUGGGGAGACGCUGGCACCCGGCCCCUCCGCCCGCCCGCUCCCCCAGCCCCACACUGUCCCUUGCCACGAUGGGCGCUGGGCGGCAGGCUUGGGACAGCUGGGGACGAGGGAGAGGCUGGCAGGCUGAGGGAUAAAGGGAAAGUGCCAGGAGGGACUUCACAGCCAGCAGCAGCAGUGACAGCGGUUGUUCAGCCUCCCCGGCCACUCUUGGAGCGGGGCAGGGAAGCCGAGGCAUCUGGAGCCCAGACACUGCCAGGAAGGUCUCAGCCAAGGGCCUGUGUGAAAACCAAAGACCCAGAGAAGCCAGGGAAGGGUUACAAAGAUUUUCACUGGGUGCUCAUAACAUCCAAACAUUUUUAAGUUAGUGACUAGUAUUUGCAGAUUUGAAAUCCAGUCUGAGGAGGCGGCCACAUGGACCACACGUCCCGGCAGGACAACUGCUGGCCAAAAGGGAGUCAGGGCCCUGCAUCCUGGAAGGUCCUGGCCGUGCCUCUGUCCUGACGAAACAGGGCAAUGGCACAGUGCGUCUCUCCGAGCUGGGCUCUGCUCCCUGCCUUCCCAGCAAGUCUCAGACGGGUCCUGUGAUUCAUCAGCCCCACUUUCCUGACAAGCAGCCGGAGGUGGAGGAAGGGACAGCUGCAAUCAGAUCCGACUGUGAAAGAAUGUUCUAGAGCCUGGCGUGGCACACACCUGUAAUCCUAGCCCUCUGGAGGCUGGGGGAGGAGGAUCGCACAGGCAGCUUCUAAAUACCCCUUCGCAGACAGGUGUGCAACAUGCCCUUCUCAGGGGAUGAAAUAAGGUAACUAAAGAUGAAAUGAGAUGUGCAGAUGAAGAACGGGCCUGCGGGGGUGCUGGAUCAGUGUUGGCUCCUCCUUCCUGAGUGGCUUGGUCCUGGAGGCAGCCAUGAGCCGCCUGGCUUGCAUUUAGCUGCACUAAAUUCAAGCCUUGUUUUCUUCAUGAUGGAUUAAAAUGGGACAUGCCACCCUCCCUCUUCCCCUCCUCUUAGACCUAGACCCUCAUUUCCACCUCUCUGGCCCUGGGUGUGUUCUUGUGUGGACAACUUAACUGCUCUGAGUCUCCGUUUUCUCAUCUGAAAAAUGAGGUGUCCUGCUACGACUCCCAAACUGCUGUACCAGGAAGACCGAGACACGAUGCCGAGAGCCGGGGAUUUAGCUCAGUGGUUUCGCCACCUGCCUCACAAAUGCAAGGUUCUGAGUUUGAUCCCUGGUACCAAAAAAAAGAAAGAAAGAAAAAAAGAGACACGAUGCAGAGAACAUUCUUCGCAAUGCUCAAGGUUGCUUUUCUUUUUCCCUCAUGGACAUCCGGUGGAGUUUUCCAGUGGGCACAAGACACGACAUCCAGACAUCCAGCAGCUGAAGGCAGAGCAGACUCGAGGAGCCAGCUGCCUUCUACCAAACUGUGCAUUUGAGAAUUUGCAACUGUGUAGAACAGUGUCACCUUUCUCGGUAAACCUUUUGGGGAAAAUCUGGUUCUUUAGAAUAAAAAUGCUUAACAUGCAGUGAUUUAUUGUUCUUUUAAAAUUAAUAAACGUAAAUGGUUUCUUGAUUUAAGUCUCUAAUAUGGUAAAUGUCUAUAG
Long non-coding RNA from Heterocephalus glaber (naked mole-rat), 1716 nucleotides. NCBI's taxonomy places the organism in Eukaryota, Metazoa, Chordata, Mammalia, Rodentia, Bathyergidae. The record is from Ensembl.